Molecule: ribosomal RNA, 366 nt
Filed under: uncultured bacterium
Lineage: Bacteria
Description: bacterial SSU rRNA
Rfam family: Bacterial small subunit ribosomal RNA
Source: RNAcentral
GACGAACGCUGGCGGCGUGCUUAACACAUGCAAGUCGAGCGGUAAGGCCCUUUCGGGGUACGACGAGCGGCGAACGGGUGAGUAACACGUGGGUGACCUGCCCUCAGCUCUGGGAUAAGCCUGGGAAACCGGGUCUAAUACCGGAUAUGACUCCAUGACGCAUGUUGUGGGGUGGAAAGCCUUGUGCGGCUGAGGAUGGGCCCGCGGCCUAUCAGCUUGUUGGUGGGGUGAUGGCCUACCAAGGCGACGACGGGUAGCCGGCCUGAGAGGGCGACCGGCCACACUGGGACUGAGACACGGCCCAGACUCCUACGGGAGGCAGCAGUGGGGAAUCUUGCGCAAUGGGCGAAAGCCUGACGCAGCGAC